CCUACGGGAGGCAGCAGUGAGGAAUAUUGGUCAAUGGACGGAAGUCUGAACCAGCCAUGCCGCGUGCAGGAAGACGGCUCUAUGAGUUGUAAACUGCUUUUGUACAAGGGUAAACCUGAAUACGUGUAUACAGCUGAAAGUACUGUACGAAUAAGGAUCGGCUAACUCCGUGCCAGCAGCAGCGGUAAUACGGAGGAUCCAAGCGUUAUCCGGAUUUAUUGGGUUUAAAGGGUGCGUAGGCGGGUGGUUAAGUUAGCGGUGAAAUGUCCGGGCUUAACUCGGGAACUGCCUCUAAUACUGUUGAGCUAGAGAGUAGAUGCGGUAGGCGGAAUGUAUGGUGUAGCGGUGAAAUGCUUAGAGAUCAUACAGAACACCGAUUGCGAAGGCAGCUUACCAAGCUAUAUCUGACGUUGAGGCACGAAAGCGUGGGGAGCAAACAGGAUUAGAUACCCUUGUAGUC
Molecule: ribosomal RNA, 460 nt
Filed under: uncultured bacterium
Lineage: Bacteria
Description: partial 16S ribosomal RNA
Rfam family: Bacterial small subunit ribosomal RNA
Source: RNAcentral